AUCUGACUGGCUCAGUCGGUAGAGCAUGUGACUCCUGUUCAUGGGUUGUGAGUUCAAGCCCAUGUUGGGUG
This 71-nucleotide transfer RNA is filed under the name Canis lupus familiaris (dog). It matches the Rfam family "tRNA". From Rfam's summary of the family: Transfer RNA (tRNA) molecules are approximately 80 nucleotides in length. Their secondary structure includes four short double-helical elements and three loops (D, anti-codon, and T loops). RNAcentral also lists the same sequence under 2 other names. The record is from Rfam by way of RNAcentral. Lineage: Eukaryota; Metazoa; Chordata; Mammalia; Carnivora; Canidae.